UCCGGUUUGGCACCGGCAGUCUCCCUAGAGUUCCCGGCAUGACCCGCUGGCAACUAAGGAUAGGGGUUGCGCUCGUUGCGCCACUUAAGGCAACACCUCACGGCACGAGCUGACGACAGCCAUGCACCACCUGUGAUCCUGCCCCGAAAGGAGGCCCUGUUUCCAGAGCGGUCAGGAACAUGUCAAGCCUAGGUAAGGUUCUUCGCGUUGCGUCGAAUUAAACCACAUGCUCCACCGCUUGUGCGGGCCCCCGUCAAUUCCUUUGAGUUUCAGCCUUGCGGCCGUACUCCCCAGGCGGGGUACUUCCUGCGUUAGCGCCGGCACCCAGGGGGUCGCUCCCCCAGGCACCUAGUACCCAUCGUUUACGGCGUGGACUAC
This 378-nucleotide unclassified non-coding RNA is filed under the name uncultured bacterium. Its description in RNAcentral is "contains 16S-23S intergenic spacer region". The record is from RNAcentral.